UGGCUCAGUGGUUAAGAGCACUAACUGUUCUUCUAGAGGACCUGGGUUCAAUUCCCAG
This 58-nucleotide transfer RNA is filed under the name Cricetulus griseus (Chinese hamster). It matches the Rfam family "tRNA", at positions 8 to 63 of the family's 71-position model. Rfam says of the family: Transfer RNA (tRNA) molecules are approximately 80 nucleotides in length. Their secondary structure includes four short double-helical elements and three loops (D, anti-codon, and T loops). The record is from Rfam by way of RNAcentral. Lineage: Eukaryota; Metazoa; Chordata; Mammalia; Rodentia; Cricetidae.